RNAcentral lists this transfer RNA (74 nucleotides) under Kali macrura. RNAcentral describes it as "tRNA-Lys". It matches the Rfam family "tRNA". From Rfam's summary of the family: Transfer RNA (tRNA) molecules are approximately 80 nucleotides in length. Their secondary structure includes four short double-helical elements and three loops (D, anti-codon, and T loops). Lineage: Eukaryota; Metazoa; Chordata; Actinopteri; Scombriformes; Chiasmodontidae. The record is from RNAcentral. RNAcentral also lists the same sequence under 3 other names.
CGUUAAGAAGCUAAACCGGGAGUAGCGUUAGCCUUUUAAGCUAAAGAUUGGUGAUUCCCAACCACCCUUAACGA